This 465-nucleotide ribosomal RNA is filed under the name uncultured bacterium. RNAcentral describes it as "partial 16S ribosomal RNA". It matches the Rfam family "Bacterial small subunit ribosomal RNA", at positions 338 to 795 of the family's 1533-position model. The record is from RNAcentral.
CCUACGGGAGGCAGCAGUAGGGAAUCUUCCACAAUGGACGAAAGUCUGAUGGAGCAACGCCGCGUGAGUGAAGAAGGGUUUCGGCUCGUAAAGCUCUGUUGGUAGUGAAGAAAGAUAGAGGUAGUAACUGGCCUUUAUUUGACGGUAAUUACUUAGAAAGUCACGGCUAACUACGUGCCAGCCGGCGCGGUAAUACGUAGGUAGCAAGCGUUGUCCGGAUUUGUUGGGCGUAAAGCGAGUGCAGGCGGUUCAAUAAGUCUGAUGUUAAAGCCUUCGGCUCAACCGGAGAAUUGCAUCAGAAACUGUUGAACUUGAGUGCAGAAGAGGAGAGUGGAACGCCAUGUGUAGCGGUGGAAUGCGUAGAUAUAUGGAAGAACACCAGUGGCGAAGGCGGCUCUCUGGUCUGCAACUGACGCUGAGGCUCGAAAGCAUGGGUAGCGAACAGGAUUAGAUACCCUGGUAGUC